Molecule: ribosomal RNA, 420 nt
Filed under: Fusobacteriota bacterium
Lineage: Bacteria; Fusobacteriati; Fusobacteriota
Description: Fusobacteria bacterium partial 16S ribosomal RNA
Rfam family: Bacterial small subunit ribosomal RNA
Source: RNAcentral
UGGGGGAUAUUGCACAAUGGGCGAAAGCCUGAUGCAGCGACGCCGCGUGGGGGAUGAAGGCCUUCGGGUUGUAAACUUCUUUUGCUCUGAACAAGGCAUGCCUUUGGGGUGUGUUGAGUGUAGGGGUUGAUUAGCGCCGGCUAACUACGUGCCAGCAGCCGCGGUAAUACGUAGGGCGCGAGCGUUGUCCGGAAUUAUUGGGCGUAAAGGGUUUGUAGGUGGCUGGUUGCGUCUGUCGUGAAAGCUCAUGGCUUAACUGUGGGUUUGCGGUGGGUACGGGCUGGCUUGAGUGCAGUAGGGGAGGCUGGAAUUCCUGGUGUAGCGGUGGAAUGCGCAGAUAUCAGGAGGAAUACCGGUGGCGAAGGCGGGUCUCUGGGCUGUUACUGACGCUGAGGAGCGAAAGCGUGGGGAGCGAACAGG